RNAcentral lists this long non-coding RNA (1146 nucleotides) under Ananas comosus (pineapple). Its description in RNAcentral is "long non-coding RNA (ACOM_LNC024255)". The record is from RNAcentral. Lineage: Eukaryota; Viridiplantae; Streptophyta; Magnoliopsida; Poales; Bromeliaceae.
UAUCAAAUAGUCAAAAAGGUACUACUAAUUAAUUGGUAGUUAUGAUCAAAUAAAAAGUAACAAAUUGAAAAGACACUUCAUGUAACGCCCGUUCAUAAAUUGUUAUUUAAUGAAGCACCUAUUCGUGGUCUAUAUAAACCUAUAGGGCGUGUUUGGUUCGCUUUUUUUUCACCCUGGAAUUGGAAUCGAAAUGGGUAAAUCCAUUUGUGGGUAUUUGGUACGUGGGAGUCCCAUUCCGAUUCCGAUUCCCGAGUGGAAUGGGAAUCCUCCAAUCAUCUCUUUUUCAAUCCGGUCUAGGAGGCCGGAUUGAAAGUUGAAUCUGGACGGAAUGGAUAUUUAUUCGGAUUAAAUUUAUUUUUUUAAUUUUUUUAAUUAAAAUAUGAGUUAAAAUUUAAAAAUUAAAUAUAUAUUUUUAAAUUUUAAUUUAAAUUUAAAUUAAAAAUUAAAAUUUAAUCAAGUAUUUCGAAUCUAACUUAUGAAUUUGAAUUUAAAUUAAAUUUUAAUUUAUAUAAAAUUUUAUUCAAAUUUUAUUUCAAACUUAAAUUAAAUUUAUGGAUUCAAAUUAAAAUUUAAAUUGUAAUAAUUUGAAUAAAUCAAAAUUUAGUUUCAUAUUUUGAAUUAUCCACUCAACUUCAAAGUUUAAUUUUUUUUAAAAAAAAUAGAUUUAAAAUUUUGAUAUUAUUUCAAAAUUUUGAUGUAAAUUUUGAAUAUUUAAUUUUUAAUUUGAAUUUAAAUUAAUAUAUUAUAAAUAUAAUGUUAGUAUUUUAAUUUGAUUACGUUUUUUAUAUCCACCUGAACCAAAUACCGACAAUGGGAAUGAUAUAUUCCGAUUCCGAUUCAGGUGAUGAACCAAACAGAAUUAGGUAAUGAGUCAUUCCGAUUCCGAUUCCAGCUUAUUUUGAUUCUGAUUCCGAUUCCGACUCCGACUUCGAACCAAACACACCCAUAGAGUUGAAUCAGUUGACUGCUGAAGUAUAGAUCAGAAGUUCAAUUCUCCAUUCACAAUAAUUUCUUUCUUAUUUCUAAUUCUAUUUCUUCUUAGCAAUUUAAUCGAGUGAAUGCUCAAAGGUUCGACUUCGUGUUUGUAAACAUAAUUGGAGUUUAUAUUUUAUUAUAUAUCCUGCGAGGCUAUUUGUUGACCCAGUG